This 44-nucleotide ribosomal RNA is filed under the name Hyaloscyphaceae sp. RNAcentral's name for it is "partial 28S ribosomal RNA". Lineage: Eukaryota; Fungi; Ascomycota; Leotiomycetes; Helotiales; Hyaloscyphaceae. The record is from RNAcentral.
GGUUGACCUCGAAUCAAGUAGGGAUACCCGCUGAACUUAAGCAU